This 253-nucleotide ribosomal RNA is filed under the name uncultured bacterium. RNAcentral describes it as "partial 16S ribosomal RNA". It matches the Rfam family "Bacterial small subunit ribosomal RNA", at positions 524 to 776 of the family's 1533-position model. The record is from RNAcentral.
UACGUAAGGUGCAAGCGUUGUCCGGAAUUAUUGGGCGUAAAGAGCUCGUAGGCGGUCUGUCGCGUCGGAUGUGAAAAUCCAGGGCUCAACCCUGGACCUGCAUUCGAUACGGGCAGACUAGAGUUCGGUAGGGGAGACUGGAAUUCCUGGUGUAGCGGUGAAAUGCGCAGAUAUCAGGAGGAACACCGGUGGCGAAGGCGGGUCUCUGGGCCGAUACUGACGCUGAGGAGCGAAAGCGUGGGGAGCGAACAGG